CUUGUCGAUUGUCGACCAUCACGCGAUCGGUCUGUCGCCUCGUAUCUCCGAGGCAGGCGUCGCUGAUUACAUCGCGCUGCUGAAGCCGCGCGUGAUGUCACUGGUGGUGUUCACUGNUCAUCGCGCCCGGUCAUUUCCAUCCUGUGCUGGCGAUCACGUCGAUCCUUUGCAUCGCCGUCGGCGGUGGUGCGGCGGGUGCGCUGAACAUGUGGUACGAACACGACA
RNAcentral lists this unclassified non-coding RNA (225 nucleotides) under Hevea brasiliensis (rubber tree). Lineage: Eukaryota; Viridiplantae; Streptophyta; Magnoliopsida; Malpighiales; Euphorbiaceae. The record is from RNAcentral.